CUAUAGGCCUUAAGUUAUAUGGGAAAGAUUGGCACAGCACCAAGUGAUCUGCAGCUGGGCUAGUACAGAGAUUGAGAAUAGUUUUGUGGCAUGUGACCAGGCUCUGAUCGACUGAAACAGUUGUGCAGAAGUGGCCCCGAAUGUAAAAAGAGCAGAGGAAACAGGAAGCUCUGUGUCAUAGCCCAGGGCACUGCCCAGCCCUCUGGUAGAGCCCUGUGCGUACCAAGCCAGCACUAAGCUUAGAUAAAAGAAUUAAAGUAGGACGCAAUGUAAAUAUCAAUGUAAAUAUUACCGCAAGUAACUUGUUAUAUCUGUUUUUGCAGCCAAGUGUUGCUCAGAAGCCGUAUUUUGAGAGAGAAUGGGAAAUACAUCCCCAAGCAGUCCUUUGCGAUGCGGAAGCACUACUUCAACGAUCCCGAGACGGGGUUCUUCAAGAAAACCAAGAGGAAGGUUGUUCCUAAAAACCCCAUGACAGAUACCAGCAUGCUGACGGACAUGAUGAAGGGCAACGUGACCAACGUCCUCCCCAUGAUCGUGAUUGGCGGCUGGAUCAACUGGGCUUUCUCCGGGUUCGUCACC
Lepisosteus oculatus (spotted gar) is the source of this 579-nucleotide non-coding RNA. The record is from RefSeq and is a predicted model, not a curated record. Lineage: Eukaryota; Metazoa; Chordata; Actinopteri; Semionotiformes; Lepisosteidae.